This 215-nucleotide long non-coding RNA is filed under the name Mytilus galloprovincialis (Mediterranean mussel). The record is from RNAcentral. Lineage: Eukaryota; Metazoa; Mollusca; Bivalvia; Mytilida; Mytilidae.
CAAAAUUACUUCAGACAUCUUACUUUAAAAAAAAAUAAAAUUCUUCAAGACAAAACUCAAACAAUAUAAAACAGUGUAUAUUAAUGAGAAACUUAACAGCUUUCAGAAAAUUUGAGCAAUAUCACAUGAUAUAUAACAACAAUCAUAACAUUGGGACAUUAUGUACCUGAAAAGAAAACCAUACCAACUAUUAGAUUUUAAAAAUGGAACACCAC